GACGUAGGGCGCGAGCGUUGUCCGGAUUUAUUGGGCGUAAAGAGCUCGUAGGCGGCUUGUCGCGUCGACUGUGAAAUCCCGCGGCUCAACCGCGGGUCUGCAGUCGAUACGGGCAGGCUAGAGUUCGGUAGGGGAGACUGGAAUUCCUGGUGUAGCGGUGAAAUGCGCAGAUAUCGGGAGGAACACCAGUGGCGAAGGCGACUACCUGGCCUGUUCUUGACGCUGAGGCGCGAAAGCUAGGGGAGCAAACGGG
RNAcentral lists this ribosomal RNA (253 nucleotides) under uncultured bacterium. RNAcentral's name for it is "partial 16S ribosomal RNA". It matches the Rfam family "Bacterial small subunit ribosomal RNA", at positions 524 to 776 of the family's 1533-position model. The record is from RNAcentral.